Molecule: long non-coding RNA, 236 nt
Filed under: Theropithecus gelada (gelada)
Lineage: Eukaryota; Metazoa; Chordata; Mammalia; Primates; Cercopithecidae
Description: lncRNA (ENSTGEG00000017496.1)
Source: RNAcentral
GCGGGCCGCAUCCCACGGGGAGGAGAAGGGUCGGGGAAGGAACCGAGGCCGGGUCUCCUUCUUAUCCAGCCCGAGACACUGAGCUCCAGUGGGCGUCCCUGUGCUGGGAAUCCCGCUCGGAGUUUUUCCAGGCCUGGCCGGGCUGCGUCGGGAAAGGCCCUGCUCCGGUUCCGCACAGCCUCUCCGGCCUCGCCCCUGGAAACCCCGCCCAGGGCGAUGGUAGGGGCCUAACCUGC